Small nuclear RNA from Molossus molossus (Pallas's mastiff bat), 102 nucleotides. The record is from RefSeq and is a predicted model, not a curated record. Lineage: Eukaryota; Metazoa; Chordata; Mammalia; Chiroptera; Molossidae.
GCUCGCUUCGGCAAGUGUACUAAAAUGGAAACGACACAGAGAAGAUUAGCAAGGCCCUUGCGCAAGGAAGACACACAAAUUUGUGAAGCACUCCAUAUUUUU